This 73-nucleotide transfer RNA is filed under the name Lactococcus phage KSY1. Its description in RNAcentral is "tRNA-Met". It matches the Rfam family "tRNA". Rfam says of the family: Transfer RNA (tRNA) molecules are approximately 80 nucleotides in length. Their secondary structure includes four short double-helical elements and three loops (D, anti-codon, and T loops). Further hydrogen bonds mediate the characteristic L-shaped molecular structure. tRNAs have two regions of fundamental functional importance: the anti-codon, which is responsible for specific mRNA codon recognition, and the 3' end, to which the tRNAs corresponding amino acid is attached (by aminoacyl-tRNA synthetases). tRNAs cope with the degeneracy of the genetic code in two manners: having more than one tRNA (with a specific anti-codon) for a particular amino acid; and 'wobble' base-pairing, i.e. permitting non-standard base-pairing at the 3rd anti-codon position. The record is from RNAcentral. Lineage: Duplodnaviria; Heunggongvirae; Uroviricota; Caudoviricetes.
GGUUCUUUAGCUCAAUAGGCAGAGCAUGCAGCCCAUAACUGCAAAGGCGUAGGUUCAAUUCCUACAGGAACCA